AGGGUGAUCGGCCACACUGGGACUGAGACACGGCCCAGACUCCUACGGGAGGCAGCAGUAGGGAAUCUUCCGCAAUGGACGAAAGUCUGACGGAGCAACGCCGCGUGAGUGAUGAAGGUUUUCGGAUCGUAAAGCUCUGUUGUUAGGGAAGAACAAGUACCGUUCGAAUAGGGCGGUACCUUGACGGUACCUAACCAGAAAGCCACGGCUAACUACGUGCCAGCAGCCGCGGUAAUACGUAGGUGGCAAGCGUUNUCCGGAAUUAUUGGGCGUAAAGGGCUCGCAGGCGGUUUCUUAAGUCUGAUGUGAAAGCCCCCGGCUCAACCGGGGAGGGUCAUUGGAAACUGGGGAACUUGAGUGCAGAAGAGGAGAGUGGAAUUCCACGUGUNGCGGUGAAAUGCGUAGAGAUGUGGAGGAACACCAGUGGCGAAGGCGACUCUCUGGUCUGUAACUGACGCUGAGGAGCGAAAGCGUGGGGAGCGAA
RNAcentral lists this ribosomal RNA (484 nucleotides) under Bacillus subtilis. RNAcentral's name for it is "bacterial SSU rRNA". It matches the Rfam family "Bacterial small subunit ribosomal RNA", at positions 297 to 772 of the family's 1533-position model. Lineage: Bacteria; Bacillati; Bacillota; Bacilli; Caryophanales; Bacillaceae. The record is from RNAcentral.